AAGUGUGGACGCCAGUCUGCAUGGAGCCGACCUUGAAAUACCACCCUUUAAUGUUUGAUGUUCUAACGUGGGCCCCUUACCGGGGUUGCGGACAGUGUCUGGUGGGUAGUUUGACUGGGGCGGUCUCCUCCUAAAGAGUAACGGAGGAGCACGAAGGUUGGCUAAUCCUGGUCGGACAUCAGGAGGUUAGUGCAAUGGCAUAAGCCAGCUUGACUGCGAGCGUGACGGCGCGAGCAGGUGCGAAAGCAGGUCAUAGUGAUCCGGUGGUUCUGAAUGGAAGGGCCAUCGCUCAACGGAUAAAAGGUACUCCGGGGAUAACAGGCUGAUACCGCCCAAGAGUUCAUAUCGACGGCGGUGUUUGGCACCUCGAUGUCGGCUCAUCACAUCCUGGGGCUGAAGUAGGUCCCAAGGGUAUGGCUGUUCGCCAUUUAAAGUGGUACGCGAGCUGGGUUUAGAACGUCGUGAGACAGUUCGGUCCCUAUCUGCCGUGGGCGCUGGAGAACUGAGGGGGGCUGCUCCUAGUACGAGAGGACCGGAGUGGACGCAUCACUGGUGUUCGGGUUGUCAUGCCAAUGGCACUGCCCGGUAGCUAAAUGCGGAAGAGAUAAGUGCUGAAAGCAUCUAAGCACGAAACUUGCCCCGAGAUGAGUUCUCCCUGACUCCUUGAGAGUCCUGAAGGAACGUUGAAGACGACGACGUUGAUAGGCCGGGUGUGUAAGCGCAGCGAUGCGUUGAGCUAACCGGUACUAAUGAACCGUGAGGCUUAACCUUACAACGCCGAAG
This 783-nucleotide ribosomal RNA is filed under the name Escherichia coli. Its description in RNAcentral is "partial 23S ribosomal RNA". It matches the Rfam family "Bacterial large subunit ribosomal RNA", at positions 2160 to 2925 of the family's 2925-position model. The record is from RNAcentral. Lineage: Bacteria; Pseudomonadati; Pseudomonadota; Gammaproteobacteria; Enterobacterales; Enterobacteriaceae.